This 21-nucleotide non-coding RNA is filed under the name Caenorhabditis elegans. The record is from RNAcentral. Lineage: Eukaryota; Metazoa; Nematoda; Chromadorea; Rhabditida; Rhabditidae.
UAAAUGCCAACCAUCAUAAUA